GACGAACGCUGGCGGCGUGCUUAACACAUGCAAGUCGAACGGAAAGGCCCUGCUUUUGUGGGGUGCUCGAGUGGCGAACGGGUGAGUAACACGUGAGUAACCUGCCCUUGACUUUGGGAUAACUUCAGGAAACUGGGGCUAAUACCGGAUAGGAGCUCCUGCUGCAUGGUGGGGGUUGGAAAGUUUCGGCGGUUGGGGAUGGACUCGCGGCUUAUCAGCUUGUUGGUGGGGUAGUGGCUUACCAAGGCUUUGACGGGUAGCCGGCCUGAGAGGGUGACCGGCGACAUUGGGACUGAGAGACGGCCCAGACUCCUACGGGAGGCAGCAGGGGGGAAUAUGGCACAAUGGGCGGAAGCCGGAUGCAGCAACGCCGCGUGCGGGAUGACGGCCUUCGGGGUGUAAACCGCUUUCGCCUGUGACGAAGCGUGAGUGACGGUAAUGGGUAAAGAAGCACCGGCUAACUACGUG
Molecule: ribosomal RNA, 468 nt
Filed under: uncultured bacterium
Lineage: Bacteria
Description: partial 16S ribosomal RNA
Rfam family: Bacterial small subunit ribosomal RNA
Source: RNAcentral